RNAcentral lists this long non-coding RNA (269 nucleotides) under Mytilus galloprovincialis (Mediterranean mussel). Lineage: Eukaryota; Metazoa; Mollusca; Bivalvia; Mytilida; Mytilidae. The record is from RNAcentral.
CAUCGUUAAUAACUUUAUUGACUAACUUUCUCUUUUAACUAUACUAGAUUCUUAUUUUACUUUCACUUUCACUUUCUAUUUAUAUCUAUAACGUCGUCAUAACAACCUCUAUUGUUCAGGCAAACCGCACAACCGCAAAAUUUGUACUUCACUGUUUGAUUUCAUGUAUAAUAUUGUCCUGAAGACGCCACGCUUGUUGGCGAAACAUGUCGACCACAAUAAAUUAAUCACCAUGCGGUAAUUGAUGGGUGUUGUUGUCUUUAUUGUCG